This 434-nucleotide ribosomal RNA is filed under the name uncultured Blautia sp. RNAcentral describes it as "bacterial SSU rRNA". It matches the Rfam family "Bacterial small subunit ribosomal RNA", at positions 341 to 792 of the family's 1533-position model. The record is from RNAcentral. Lineage: Bacteria; Bacillati; Bacillota; Clostridia; Lachnospirales; Lachnospiraceae.
ACGGAAGGCAGCAGUGGGGAAUAUUGCACAAUGGGGGAAACCCUGAUGCAGCGACGCCGCGUGAAGGAAGAAGUAUCUCGGUAUGUAAACUUCUAUCAGCAGGGAAGAAAAUGACGGUACCUGACUAAGAAGCCCCGGCUAACUACGUGCCAGCAGCCGCGGUAAUACGUAGGGGGCAAGCGUUAUCCGGAUUUACUGGGUGUAAAGGGAGCGUAGACGGAAUUGCAAGUCUGAUGUGAAAGGCAUGGGCUCAACCCGUGGACUGCAUUGGAAACUGUGAUUCUUGAGUGCCGGAGGGGUAAGCGGAAUUCCUGGUGUAGCGGUGAAAUGCGUAGAUAUCAGGAGGAACACCGGUGGCGAAGGCGGCUUACUGGACGGCAACUGACGUUGAGGCUCGAAGGCGUGGGGAGCAAACAGGAUUAGAUACCCUGGUA